GCUGAUUGUAUUAUACAAUAUUAACUAUGUAAAUAAAAUUCUAGGUAUAUUUAUGAUUAUGACAUUGUAUAUCUAUAAGUCUUGACUAAGUCACGUGCCAGCAGUCGCGGUAAUACGUGGAAGACAAGUGUUAUUCAUCUUUAUUUGGUUUAAAGGGUACGUAGACAGCUAAUCAAGCUUGCUAACAGUGAGGACUAAUUAUGCUAGAGUUUUAUGUGAGGAGAGAGUAGUACGGUGAGCGUAGAGAUGAAAUUCUUUGAGACCACUUAGAGACUGAUAAAGGCGAAAGCGGCCUCUUAUGUAAAA
RNAcentral lists this ribosomal RNA (306 nucleotides) under Gyalecta schisticola. Its description in RNAcentral is "SSU rRNA". It matches the Rfam family "Bacterial small subunit ribosomal RNA", at positions 413 to 738 of the family's 1533-position model. The record is from RNAcentral. Lineage: Eukaryota; Fungi; Ascomycota; Lecanoromycetes; Ostropales; Gyalectaceae.